AUUGAACGCUGGCGGCAGGCCUAACACAUGCAAGUCGAGCGGUAGCACAGAGAAGCUUGCUUCUUGGGUGACGAGCGGCGGACGGGUGAGUAACGCGUGGGAAUCUACCUGGUAGUGGGGGACAACAGUCGGAAACGACUGCUAAUACCGCAUACGCCCUUUGGGGGAAAGUGGGGGAUCUUCGGACCCCACGCUAUCAGAAGAGCCCGCGUCGGAUUAGCUGGUUGGUGAGGUAAUGGCUCACCAAGGCGACGAUCCGUAGCUGGUCUGAGAGGAUGAUCAGCCACAUCGGGACUGAGACACGGCCCGAACUCCUACGGGAGGCAGCAGUGGGGAAUAUUGGACAAUGGGCGCAAGCCUGAUCCAGCCAUGCCGCGUGUGUGAAGAAGGCUUUCGGGUUGUAAAGCACUUUCAGUGAGGAAGAAGGCCUUGGGGCGAAUACCCCCGAGGGAGGACAUCACUCACAGAAGAAGCACCGGCUAACUCCGUGCCAGCAGCCGCGGUAAUACGGAGGGUGCGAGCGUUAAUCGGAAUUACUGGGCGUAAAGCGCGCGUAGGCGGCGUGAUAAGCCGGUUGUGAAAGCCCCGGGCUCAACCUGGGAACGGCAUCCGGAACUGUCAGGCUAGAGUGCA
This 633-nucleotide ribosomal RNA is filed under the name uncultured bacterium. RNAcentral's name for it is "bacterial SSU rRNA". It matches the Rfam family "Bacterial small subunit ribosomal RNA", at positions 28 to 650 of the family's 1533-position model. The record is from RNAcentral.